This 115-nucleotide ribosomal RNA is filed under the name Heterocephalus glaber (naked mole-rat). The record is from RNAcentral. Lineage: Eukaryota; Metazoa; Chordata; Mammalia; Rodentia; Bathyergidae.
AUCUACGGCCACUCCACCCUGAACACACCCGAUCUCGUCUGAUCUUGGAAGCGAAGCAGGGUUGGGCCUGGUUAGUGCUUGGAUGGAGGAGUGCUGUGUUCUCCUGCUGCAGGUC